UUGCCGGAUCUUCGAGGUGAUUGCACGUGUGAAGUAAACUAUAUUGCGAAUAGACCGUGUACUGCAGAAAUCAGAUCCGCUUGCAAUUGAUCUCUAAGAAGAAAGCGAGUAUCUAGUGUUAAUGGAAUGAGUAUCUCUUUAAAAGUGAAUUGAUGUAUUUGCGGUCAACUGUGAUUUUUCGAAGAAGAAGGCAACGUGACCUGAUCGUGGGAUGCACGGAGUAUGCACGUCAGCACUGCUUGUGUUAUGCAUGCCACUGUUCAGCGCGCCACUGGUCCGGAUCCCACUGACGGAGGUGCCCCGACGAAGGGCCCCGCCUCGACUCAUCCACUUUCACACCAGCGAGAGCUUCCAGGUGCCAGUUAGAACCACCCAACCGCCAACGACAGCUUCGCCACGGUCUUUGUACCGCGUCAUUAAAUACAACAGGAUGUAUGAAGAUUUUAGAACCAGGAAUGGUAGACACACGUUAUCGAAUGGCCACGUGAGCAGACCGCGGCCGCCGGCAGCCCAGGUGCAAUGUGACUGGUGUGACAGCGCCGUGACGAGACGUCUUCCAAAGAUAUCCAACAAAUAAAUAAAUAUCUAACAAUUUCAUACGUUUA
Long non-coding RNA from Helicoverpa armigera (cotton bollworm), 605 nucleotides. RefSeq lists it as uncharacterized. Lineage: Eukaryota; Metazoa; Arthropoda; Insecta; Lepidoptera; Noctuidae. The transcript is spliced from 3 exons. The record is from RefSeq and is a predicted model, not a curated record.